This 549-nucleotide ribosomal RNA is filed under the name uncultured bacterium. Its description in RNAcentral is "partial 16S ribosomal RNA". It matches the Rfam family "Bacterial small subunit ribosomal RNA", at positions 355 to 896 of the family's 1533-position model. The record is from RNAcentral.
UGGGGAAUUUUGGACAAUGGGCGCAAGCCUGAUCCAGCCAUGCCGCGUGUGGGAAGAAGGCCUUCGGGUUGUAAACCGCUUUUGUCAGGGAAGAAAUCUUCUGAGUUAAUACCUCGGGAGGAUGACGGUACCUGAAGAAUAAGCACCGGCUAACUACGUGCCAGCAGCCGCGGUAAUACGUAGGGUGCAAGCGUUAAUCGGAAUUACUGGGCGUAAAGCGUGCGCAGGCGGUUUUGUAAGACAGAGGUGAAAUCCCCGGGCUCAACCUGGGAACUGCCUUUGUGACUGCAAGGCUUGAGUGCGGCAGAGGGGGAUGGAAUUCCGCGUGUAGCAGUGAAAUGCGUAGAUAUGCGGAGGAACACCGAUGGCGAAGGCAAUCCCCUGGGCCUGCACUGACGCUCAUGCACGAAAGCGUGGGGAGCAAACAGGAUUAGAUACCCUGGUAGUCCACGCCCUAAAACGAUGUCAACUGGUUGUUGGGAAGGUUCCUUCUCAGUAACGUAGCUAACGCGUGAAGUUGACCGCCUGGGGAGUACGGCCGCAAGGUUG